Molecule: long non-coding RNA, 276 nt
Filed under: Ananas comosus (pineapple)
Lineage: Eukaryota; Viridiplantae; Streptophyta; Magnoliopsida; Poales; Bromeliaceae
Description: long non-coding RNA (ACOM_LNC030346)
Source: RNAcentral
CCCGAUUCCGUGCCGCCCAGCCCAUUUUAUAUCCCUUCCUCUCCUGCACCUUCAUCCGCCCUCUCCUUCUUUACCAUUUGAUCUCCUCGAAACACUCAUCUCCAUACUUUCUUGUCUCUUUGAAGGCCCAAUGUAAUAUACCGAAACUUCGAUAAGCAAAUAUCGAACUUUAGUCAAAAUGACCAAAGUGCGAGGUUAGGACGCUUCGGAAAGGCCGAAGGCGUUAAAAAGAGCAAAAGUGCGUUAUAUGGGAUCUUCGAGAGCUAAAGAAUCAAA